CCUACGGGAGGCUGCAGUGGGGAAUAUUGCACAAUGGGCGCAAGCCUGAUGCAGCCAUGCCGCGUGUAUGAAGAAGGCCUUCGGGUUGUAAAGUACUUUCAGCGGGGAGGAAGGGAGUAAAGUUAAUACCUUUGCUCAUUGACGUUACCCGCAGAAGAAGCACCGGCUAACUCCGUGCCAGCAGCCGCGGUAAUACGGAGGGUGCGAGCGUUAAUCGGAAUUACUGGGCGUAAAGCGCUCGUAGGCGGUAUGUCAAGUCAAGGGUGAAAUCCCCGCGCUCAACGUGGGAACUGCCUUUGAAACUGGCAAACUGGAGUGUGUGAGAGGAUAGUGGAAUUCCAGGUGUAGGAGUGAAAUCCGUAGAUAUCUGGAGGAACAUCAGUGGCGAAGGCGACUAUCUGGCACAUAACUGACGCUGAGGAGCGAAAGCGUGGGUAGCAAACAGGAUUAGAUACCCUUGUAGUC
Molecule: ribosomal RNA, 465 nt
Filed under: uncultured bacterium
Lineage: Bacteria
Description: partial 16S ribosomal RNA
Rfam family: Bacterial small subunit ribosomal RNA
Source: RNAcentral